Molecule: ribosomal RNA, 460 nt
Filed under: uncultured bacterium
Lineage: Bacteria
Description: partial 16S ribosomal RNA
Rfam family: Bacterial small subunit ribosomal RNA
Source: RNAcentral
CCUACGUGAGGCUGCAGUGAGGAAUAUUGGUCAAUGGACGAGAGUCUGAACCAGCCAAGUAGCGUGAAGGAUGACUGCCCUAUGGGUUGUAAACUUCUUUUAUAUGGGAAUAAAACGUUCCACGUGUGGGCUUUUGUAUGUACCCUAUGAAUAAGGAUCGGCUAACUCCGUGCCAGCAGCCGCGGUAAUACGGAGGAUCCGAGCGUUAUCCGGAUUUAUUGGGUUUAAAGGGAGCGUAGGUGGAUUGUUAAGUCAGUUGUGAAAGUUUGCGGCUCAACCGUAAAAUUGCAGUUGAAACUGGCAGGCUUGAGUACAGUAGAGGUGGGCGGAAUUCGUGGUGUAGCGGUGAAAUGCUUAGAUAUCACGAAGAACUCCGAUUGCGAAGGCAGUUCACUGGACUGCAACUGACACUGAGGCUCGAAAGUGUGGGUAUCAAACAGGAUUAGAUACCCUUGUAGUC